UACAGAGGUCUCGAGCGUUGUUCGGAUUCAUUGGGCGUAAAGGGUGCGUAGGUGGCGCUGUAAGUCGGGUGUGAAAUCCUGAGGCUUAACCUCGGAACUGCAUUCGAUACUGCCGUGCUUGAGGACUGGAGAGGAGACUGGAAUUCAUGGUGUAGCAGUGAAAUGCGUAGAGAUCAUGAGGAACACCAGUGGCGAAGGCGGGUCUCUGGACAGUUCCUGACACUGAGGCACGAAGGCCAGGGGAGCAAACGGG
This 253-nucleotide ribosomal RNA is filed under the name uncultured bacterium. Its description in RNAcentral is "partial 16S ribosomal RNA". It matches the Rfam family "Bacterial small subunit ribosomal RNA", at positions 524 to 776 of the family's 1533-position model. The record is from RNAcentral.